AUCGAACGUGGCGGCAGGCUUUAUCACAUGCAAGUUGAAACGUAACAUAAAGAAUAGCUUGCUUUUAUUGAUGACGAGUGGCGGACGGGUGAGUAAUGCUUGGGAAUUGCCUUAUAGAGGAAGAUAACUACGGGAAACUGUAGCUAAUCCCGCAUAAUAUAUACGGAUUAAAGUGUGGGAUCUUCGGACCACAUACCAUAAGAUGAGCCCAAGUGAGAUUAGGUAGUUGGUGAGGUAAAGGCUCACCAAGCUGACGAUCUUAGUGGUUUGAGAGGAUGACCAGCCACACUGGGACUGAGACACGGCCCAGACUCCUACGGGAGGCAGCAGUGGGGAAUAUUGCACAAUGGGCGCAAGCCUGAUGCAGCCAUGCCGCGUGAAUGAAGAAGGCUUUCGGGUUGUAAAGUUCUUUCAUUAGUGAGAAAGGUAUAAAUGUUAAUAGCAUUUGUAAUUGAUGUUAGCUAAAGAAGAAGCACCGGCUAACUCCGUGCCAGCAGCCGCGGUAAUACGGAGGGUGCGAGCGUUAAUCGGAAUAACUGGGCGUAAAGGGCAUGCAGGCGGUUACUUAAGUCAGAUGUGAAAGCCCCGAGCUUAACUUGGGAAUUGCAUUUGAAACUGGGUGACUAGAGUCCUCUAGGGAGGGGUAGAAUUCCACGUGUAGCGGUGAAAUGCGUAGAGAUGUGGAGGAAUACCGAAGGCGAAGGCAGCCCCUUGGAGAGAGAUUGACGCUCAUAUGCGAAAGCGUGGGUAGCAAACAGG
Molecule: ribosomal RNA, 759 nt
Filed under: uncultured bacterium
Lineage: Bacteria
Description: bacterial SSU rRNA
Rfam family: Bacterial small subunit ribosomal RNA
Source: RNAcentral